GAGAGGAUUUAUUGUAGCCUCCAGCUCCUGAUAUUCGGGAAGCAACUCAGAACACAACUAGAAGCAAGAGCUUAGAAACCACGCCGACUACCAUAGAUGGCUUCGAAAAAUCCUUCUUACAGGAUAAUUUUGGGUUCUUCUUCAAAAGCUCGCAAACAGAUUCUUGCUGAAAUGGGAUACGAAUUCACAAUAAUGACUGCAGAUAUUGAUGAGAAAAGUAUUAGGAGGGAAAAGCCUGAAGAUUUGGUUGUAACAUUAGCUGAGGCUAAGGCUGAUGCUAUUGUGCAAAGGCUCCUUAAUGAUGGUCAAUUGGAGGCAGAUGCUUCUACAACAUUGUUAAUCACUGCAGACACUGUUGUGGUAUAUCGAGGAAUAAUCAGGGAAAAACCAACUAGUGAGAAAGAAGCACGGGAAUUUGUCAAAGGAUAUUCUGGUAGUCAUGCAGCUGUGGUAGGAUCUGUUGUGGUGACUAACCUUGUGACCGGAAAACGUUAUGGGGGAUGGGAGGGUGCAGAGGUUUAUUUCCUUGAAAUACCAGACGAGGAAAUUCUUGUCAAACCAAAUACUAUAUGAGUUUUCUUAUUUGAUGGGAGAAUCUCAGAUUGAUGACGGGGUUACGUUCAAUGUUGCUGGGGGUUUGAUGCUGGAACAUCCAUUGACGUUACCCUUUGUGGAUGCAGUGGUUGGAUCAGCUGAUACAGUGAUGGGACUUUCCAAAGCUCUUACAGAGAAACUCAUAAUGGAAGCUCUAUAGCUGCUGCAGUUGUAAAACUAUAUUCUGAUUGAUACCAUGUGCUGGCUGACUGCGAUAUUACCUCAAUGAUAUUCAAAUGUUUUUAUUUGCACCGAUUUUGUAAUACAAAAUACAAACAAGAAUCCUUGAUACCUUGCUGAAUUUUGUUUUAUCAUGAGCCGACAAAAGCUUGUACUUUA
Medicago truncatula (barrel medic) is the source of this 933-nucleotide RNA transcript. It is a transcript of the gene named 7-methyl-GTP pyrophosphatase, with no coding region annotated. The transcript has 8 exons. Lineage: Eukaryota; Viridiplantae; Streptophyta; Magnoliopsida; Fabales; Fabaceae. The record is from RefSeq and is a predicted model, not a curated record.